UGGGGAAUCUUGGACAAUGGGGGCAACCCUGAUCCAGCCAUGCCGCGUGAGUGAUGAAGGCCUUAGGGUCGUAAAGCUCUUUCGCCUGUGAAGAUAAUGACGGUAGCAGGUAAAGAAACCCCGGCUAACUCCGUGCCAGCAGCCGCGGUAAUACGGAGGGGGUUAGCGUUGUUCGGAAUUACUGGGCGUAAAGCGCACGUAGGCGGACUGGAAAGUUGGGGGUGAAAUCCCAGGGCUCAACCCUGGAACUGCCUCCAAAACUAUCAGUCUAGAGUUCGAGAGAGGUGAGUGGAAUUCCGAGUGUAGAGGUGAAAUUCGUAGAUAUUCGGAGGAACACCAGUGGCGAAGGCGGCUCACUGGCUCGAUACUGACGCUGAGGUGCGAAAGUGUGGGGAGCAAACAGG
RNAcentral lists this ribosomal RNA (404 nucleotides) under uncultured Ruegeria sp. RNAcentral's name for it is "bacterial SSU rRNA". It matches the Rfam family "Bacterial small subunit ribosomal RNA", at positions 355 to 776 of the family's 1533-position model. Lineage: Bacteria; Pseudomonadati; Pseudomonadota; Alphaproteobacteria; Rhodobacterales; Roseobacteraceae. The record is from RNAcentral.